UGGAGCGAUGAUUGAUUGGGACCGCUGUGAGAGCUCCCCAAACAAACAUAGUCUCCUGUAUUGAAUGAAUAUUGGUAAUCAAAGGACAGAUCCAGUCAAAAGUGAAACUAAAUAUAUAUAUCUCCUCUAAACACAAAUGUUUGGUGAGGGGAAAAAACAAACAAACAAAAAAAACUGUAUUUCACCCUGCCUGUGAUCGGUAUGGGGACCCUCCAUUCCUGUAAAACUGAAAAUACAGGGGCCUAUAUGUGAAAGUACAAAAAAUAGAGCUGGAUUCCCACAAGAGCUGGUGUCCAGACAUGUGGAAAAAGGGGCGUCAUUCACA
Bufo bufo (common toad) is the source of this 325-nucleotide long non-coding RNA. RefSeq lists it as uncharacterized. The record is from RefSeq and is a predicted model, not a curated record. NCBI's taxonomy places the organism in Eukaryota, Metazoa, Chordata, Amphibia, Anura, Bufonidae. The transcript is spliced from 2 exons.